UUGCGACCCCAGGUCAGGCGGGAUCACCCGCUGAGUUUAAGCAUAUCAAUAAGCGGAGGAAAAGAAACUUACCAGGAUUCC
RNAcentral lists this ribosomal RNA (81 nucleotides) under Loxocarpus angustifolius. RNAcentral's name for it is "partial 26S ribosomal RNA". It matches the Rfam family "Eukaryotic large subunit ribosomal RNA", at positions 1 to 78 of the family's 3401-position model. Lineage: Eukaryota; Viridiplantae; Streptophyta; Magnoliopsida; Lamiales; Gesneriaceae. The record is from RNAcentral.